Molecule: ribosomal RNA, 254 nt
Filed under: uncultured bacterium
Lineage: Bacteria
Description: partial 16S ribosomal RNA
Rfam family: Bacterial small subunit ribosomal RNA
Source: RNAcentral
UACGUAGGGGGCGAGCGUUGUCCGGAUUUAUUGGGCGUAAAGAGCUCGUAGGCGGUUGGGUAAGUCGGGUGUGAAAACUCAGGGCUCAACUCUGAGACGCCACUCGAUACUGCUCUGACUCGAGUCCGGUAGGGGAGCGUGGAAUUCCCGGUGUAGCGGUGAAAUGCGCAGAUAUCGGGAGGAACACCAGUGGCGAAGGCGGCGCUCUGGGACGGUACUGACGCUGAGACGCGAAAGCGUGGGGAGCGAACAGG